GAGCUUGCUCCUUGAUUUAGCGGCGGACGGGUGAGUAAUGCCUAGGAAUCUGCCUGGUAGUGGGGGAUAACGUUCCGAAAGGAACGCUAAUACCGCAUACGUCCUACGGGAGAAAGCAGGGGACCUUCGGGCCUUGCGCUAUCAGAUGAGCCUAGGUCGGAUUAGCUAGUUGGUGAGGUAAUGGCUCACCAAGGCGACGAUCCGUAACUGGUCUGAGAGGAUGAUCAGUCACACUGGAACUGAGACACGGUCCAGACUCCUACGGGAGGCAGCAGUGGGGAAUAUUGGACAAUGGGCGAAAGCCUGAUCCAGCCAUGCCGCGUGUGUGAAGAAGGUCUUCGGAUUGUAAAGCACUUUAAGUUGGGAGGAAGGGCAUUAACCUAAUACGUUAGUGUUUUGACGUUACCGACAGAAUAAGCACCGGCUAACUUCGUGCCAGCAGCCGCGGUAAUACGAAGGGUGCAAGCGUUAAUCGGAAUUACUGGGCGUAAAGCGCGCGUAGGUGGUUCGUUAAGUUGGAUGUGAAAGCCCCGGGCUCAACCUGGGAACUGCAUCCAAAACUGGCGAGCUAGAGUACGGUAGAGGGUGGUGGAAUUUCCUGUGUAGCGGUGAAAUGCGUAGAUAUAGGAAGGAACACCAGUGGCGAAGGCGACCACCUGGACUGAUACUGACACUGAGGUGCGAAAGCGUGGGGAGCAAACAGGAUUAGAUACCCUGGUAGUCCACGCCGUAAACGAUGUCAACUAGCCGUUGGGUUCCUUGAGAACUUAGUGGCGCAGCUAACGCAUUAAGUUGACCGCCUGGGGAGUACGGCCGCAAGGUUAAAACUCAAAUGAAUUGACGGGGGCCCGCACAAGC
RNAcentral lists this ribosomal RNA (858 nucleotides) under Pseudomonas sp. CCNP 0050B. Its description in RNAcentral is "bacterial SSU rRNA". It matches the Rfam family "Bacterial small subunit ribosomal RNA", at positions 76 to 930 of the family's 1533-position model. The record is from RNAcentral. Lineage: Bacteria; Pseudomonadati; Pseudomonadota; Gammaproteobacteria; Pseudomonadales; Pseudomonadaceae.